Cyprinus carpio (common carp) is the source of this 1053-nucleotide long non-coding RNA. The record is from Ensembl. Lineage: Eukaryota; Metazoa; Chordata; Actinopteri; Cypriniformes; Cyprinidae.
AUGGACUCUCUCUUUUCUAGCAUUUUAAAUACAGUUGCUCCUUUACGCUUAAGGAAGGUUAAGGAAAACAGUCUGACACCGUGGUAUAAUGAGCACACUCGCACCCUAAAGAGAGCAGCCCGGAAAAUGGAGCGCAGCUGGAGGAAAACAAAACUAGAGGUAUUUCGUAUUGCUUGGAGGGAAAGUAACCUAUCUUACAGAAAAGCAUUAAAAACUGCUAAAUCUGAUUACUUUUCGUCUCUUUUAGAAGAAAACAAACAUAACCCCAGGUAUUUAUUCAAUACAGUGGCUAAAUUAACGAAAAAUAAAGCAUCAACAAGUGUUGACAUUUCCCAACAUCACAGCAGUAAUGACUUUAUGAACUACUUUACUUCUGAAAUCGAUACUAUUAGAGAUAAAAUUGUAACCAUGCAGCCGUCAGCUACAGUAUUGCAUCAGACAGUGCACUAUAGAUCCCCUGAGGAACAGUUCCACUCAUUCUCUACUAUAGGAGAGGAAGAAUUGUAUAAACUUGUUAAAUCAUCUAAACCAACAACAUGUAUGUUAGACCCUAUUCCAUCUAAGCUCCUAAAAGAGGUGUUUCCAGAAGUAAUAGAUCCUCUUCUGACUAUUAUUAAUUCCUCAUUGUCAUUAGGGUAUGUCCCCAAAACCUUCAAACUGGCUGUUAUUAAGCCUCUCAUCAAAAAAACACAACUUGAUCCCAAAGAACUAGUUAAUUAUAGACCAAUCUCGAAUCUCCCUUUUCUGUCCAAGAUACUAGAAAAGGUAGUAUCCUCACAAUUAUAUACCUUCUUAGAGAAAGAUGGUAUCUGUGAGGAUUUCCAGUCAGGAUUUAGACCGUAUCAUAAUACUGAGACUGCUCUCCUUAGAGUUACAAAUGACCUGCUCUUAUCAUCUGAUUGUGGUUGUAUCUCUCUAUUAGUGCUAUUGGAUCUUAGUGCUCCGUUUGACACUAUUGACCACACCAUUCUUUUGCAUAGACUAGAACACUUUGUUGGCAUUAAUGGAAGUGCAUUAGCAUGGUUUAAAUCGUUCUUAUUGUCAGGAUCGUGA